CUCGAUUAAUUAUUCAACAAGUCCUUCAUCAUUAAUUCCCAUUCAAAUAAGUCUCUAUGUCACUUUCAUAAUUCAGAAUACAAUCCGGCUUUGAUGUUUACUCCGUAUCAUAAUUAAGAAAUAAUUAAAUGACAUCUAAAACGACACUCGUAUUAUAAUUUUAAUUCACUCGGUCAUCGAGAUGACACGAAGUUCAACACUAGGCAUUUUGGGUGUUAUACAUCAGCCACGUCCUUGACGUUAUGAAUCUCCAACUCAAGUUUCACCCAAGUUGUGAGUUUAUCCUUGAAACAAAAGAAGGCACUGAUUUACUCUAGGUUUAGAAUUAUGUAAAAUGAGCUUAGAAACUCUCGCACAUACUCGCGUAUCCCCCGAGGUGAGCAAGUCAACGUAGCUUUAACCCUCAAAAGCUUUUCCUUGAGUUCCACGAUUUCGCUGCAUAGGGCCUCCACCAAGGCCACCAAGGCACUUCUAUGGUUGCAACAACGCCAUCCAUAUGGCUCUCGGUUGCCUUUAACCGACUCACCAUUGGCUUGCCCUUCAGAACCACUUCCUUGCCUUUGCUCACAGUACUUAGGGUCUCAACCAUCUUCUUGACCUCCAUGCUCGUUGUUUCUUCUGGAGUUUUCGUUAUCA
This 636-nucleotide long non-coding RNA is filed under the name Gossypium barbadense (sea-island cotton). RNAcentral's name for it is "long non-coding RNA (GBAR_LNC001039)". The record is from RNAcentral. Lineage: Eukaryota; Viridiplantae; Streptophyta; Magnoliopsida; Malvales; Malvaceae.